AAUCUGGAUCUGCCCCUAGUAGGAACUAUAUUGUUGUGAAAAGAGCAUAGGCUUUAGAAUGAGAAGUCUUGUUCCUGUAAUUUACUAUCUAUGUUACUCAGGACAGUUAAUUCAUUGAACUAUUCUGGGCCUCAGUUUACUUACCAGGUAAAUUGGAGGUAAUAUUUACCAGCCUGAGCUGUUGUGAUAAUCAAAUAAGAUAGUAUUUACAAAAGUGAUUUGUAAAAUGUGGAAAGCACUUUACACGUGUUUAUGAAUUAGUAUUAUAAUUUGUCCAUAAAAUGCAUAAGAGGCAAAAAUCAAAAGCAACACCAAGUUUCUUAGAUGAAAAAGUAGAACCAGAGUGUGUGCGCUGGCAAAAAUGAUGAAAUGGUACAGGUAACAUUCUUGCUUUUCUGCUAGGUUUUCUUCCUGCUUAAUCCAUGAGACUUUGAAGAAAUAAACUGGUAAGCAUAGGAUCAGAAAUUUAGAGCUGAGAGGAAGUUGAAGAUCACCUAGCUCCUCCCUACAUUUUUACAGAAAUAGAAAUUAAGGCCCAAGAAAGCUGAAAGACUUUUCUAAGGCCACCCAUCUAAUAAAUGUCAUGAUCAGAAGAACCAGAUCUCCAGGCUCCAGGUUCCUCUUACUGUACCAAGAGCAAUUUUAAAUAUUGUAAAAGCAUUUCAUCAUGGGGUCUUUCAGAAUCAGAGACAGCAUGGUGCUUGUUCUCUAGUGGCUUUUCGCUUUAUCACAAAAUUCGCCAGAUUUACUUUUCUGUUUUAAAGGUUGAUAGACUGGAUGAGGCGUGGGUCACCUGCUCUUUGCAAGCUUAUUCAGUGAGGGAAACUGAAGAUUUCAAGCAAGUACAGAUAUCAGGCACCAGGGCCUAAUACUCCACCAAUCCACAAGAUCCCAUACUUCCUUGAGGGUGAGAGAGAGGGGUCCCGAUAUUCUCAGCAUUUGGUUAUCACUCUCAGAUGAGCUCUAGAGUCCAGCUAAUGAACAGGCACCACGCCAGGAAGAGAUACAUGAGCUUGCAUCUCAAAGGCAGGAAAAAUUGGAGUCCUUGAAUUGGAGUGACGCUUCAUCUACAAGUUAGGGUUAUCGAGUCAAGGUCAAAAGCUAGAGGGGUAUGAGGUUAAGAGAUGUCCACAGGAUAGAGGACUUCGUGAAGCUUCCGGGGAGCAGAUAAAAAUUGGGAGACUCCCAAGACCCAUCUCAAGGUCACCUUCUUUAGGACACCUUCCCUAACAGCAAUGUUGUAAUAUUUAAUUUGUAACUCAAUGUUAUAUUGUCCUCUGAUUCAUUUGUGUAUGUACACAUUGACUUCCCAUUGAGAUUUUUAAGCUUAAGGAUGGUAAUAGCAACUUUAAAAAAUAUUCUGCAUGUACAAUACCUCACAUAACGCUGUGUAGCACUAAGAAAACUUAUUAAUAUCACUAUUAGAAUCUGGUGGAGAUUAUAUCUUGCAUAAUCUCUCUAAAGGUGAGAAUUCGGAUUACUUUUUGCUAUUCAACACGUUUUUCUGCAAACCCAGUCACUCCAGAAAAAUCUAUCUUAUUUGCAGAACUGUUGCAAAACCUGACACUCCUCUUCACUUUGCUGGAAUGCCCUUGUAGUUGCCAAAUAUUGCCCUGCUUCAUGGAAAUUCUUGGCCAGAUCUGUGGACUGCCAGCCCUUGCAGCUGCUGAUCCUUGAAGUCCAAUUCUCCUAUAACAUCAAAUCAAACAAUAUUUCCUAAGACACUGAGCUGGUUGCCAUUGAAGUCUAGGGGAGCUUGAGUCCAUUGUGGGAGAUGAAUCCACAAAUUAUGUGUGAACAGACUGGAUUUCUAAGCCUAUGGGGCAGAGGACCAGAACCUUAUCCUGGUGAAUCACCAAGGUAAGUCCAUGCCAUGAGAACCUUUUGGGGCCCCAGGAAACUCUCUGACUGGCUGGUGAUCUGUCUCCUUCCUACUCAGACUUCUAAUGUUAUCAGGCCUAGUGAAGUUCUGUCUGUAUUGAGGGACUGGCAGGAUAGAAUUGUGUUUGGGAUCCUGGUGUGGAGUCGGUAGACUUGGCGUAUAUCCUUUCUUCAAUUAUUAACUUAAGCAAAUUGCCUAACCUUCCCACCCUUCAAUUUUCUUCUCUGUGAUUUGGGGAUAACAAGUGUCUACUUCAUAGCAUUCUUAGGGAAAAAUGAGACUGCAUGUUGAGGACUUUAUGUAGUAGGUAACAUAAAAGGUGCUUAAUAAAUAGCAGUUACUCUUAUUUUUAGAGCCCUCACUGGAUGCCAGGCCCUGUGCAUUGAUAUAUCUGCCCAGUCAAACAGCUGGCAAGCGGGAAAACUGGGUGGGUGUUGAACCAGGCCAAAGCUAAUGUAUUUGACGACUAGUUUAAACUGUCUCUGAUAGUUUAACAAACAUGGCAAAACUUGCACUUUCAAACUGUCUCUUUCCCUUUAAAGGAAUGAAUUUGGAAGACUGCAUACUUACUCCUAAGCCUAUUUGGAACUCCUCUUUUGGACUUACCUGAGAAAUCUGUGCUAUAUUUUUUAAACAUCCUUAACAAGGACAAAUUUUUGUUCAUGAAGAGAAGAUUUGAUCUUUCAUAAUAACCAAAAUGUGUUUUGUGCCAAGCCCAAUAAAUAAAGUGGAGAAUAACAAAAACAUGGCAUAGAAAGCAAUUCCACAGUUUUGACAGGAGUAGCAAAUACUUCAUUGUCACAAAGCAUUUUCUGUUAUUUCUGACUUCAUGUUCCUAUCACAUUGGUCUUGUAUGGAACAAAAUAUGUAUUGUUAUUAGUAAAUUAAGUUAACUACAAAUGAGUUAAAUUAUUGUAACUGAAGACUAAUGAUCAAAUUAAUAUAAACAAAGAAAGAUUGUUUAUAUUCA
Molecule: long non-coding RNA, 2852 nt
Organism: Hipposideros armiger (great roundleaf bat)
Lineage: Eukaryota; Metazoa; Chordata; Mammalia; Chiroptera; Hipposideridae
Exons: 5
Source: RefSeq, a predicted model, not a curated record